GUGCAGCAGCCGCGGUCAUACCGGCAGCCCGAGUGAUGGCCGAUAUUAUUGGGCCUAAAGCGUCCGUAGCUGGCCGCGCAAGUCCGUCGGGAAAUCCACCUGCCCAACAGGUGGGCGUCCGGCGGAAACUGUGUGGCUUGGAACCGGAAGGCUCAGAGGGUACGUCCGGGGUAGGAGUGAAAUCCCGUAAUCCCGGACGGACCACCGAUGGCGAAAGCACUCUGAGAAGACGGCUUCGACAGUGAGGGACGAAAGCUAGGGUCUCAAACCGGAUUAGAUACCCUGGUAGUCC
This 292-nucleotide ribosomal RNA is filed under the name uncultured bacterium. RNAcentral describes it as "partial 16S ribosomal RNA". It matches the Rfam family "Archaeal small subunit ribosomal RNA", at positions 455 to 747 of the family's 1478-position model. The record is from RNAcentral.